Homo sapiens (human) is the source of this 494-nucleotide long non-coding RNA. Lineage: Eukaryota; Metazoa; Chordata; Mammalia; Primates; Hominidae. The record is from Ensembl.
GCGGCGGCCGAGGCUCGGGGUGAGUGAGGGGCGGCAGGGCUCUGAGCCUGGCGGGUUCCGGCUAUUCCCUUCGCGGUCCAGUUUAGUCCACUGCGAGGGCACCUGCAGCGCCGGGAUCUGAGUGCGAAACUCCGAGCGGAAGCUGGUCUGGCAGCCUCCAGGACCACUGGCUGCCCAUGAGAGACGAAGGAUGGCAUCCAAGGGGGCCGGCGUGUCUUUCUCCCGCAAGAGCUGUAGGCUGACCUCAGAUGCUGAGAAAUCCAGGGUCACAGGCAUUGUGCAGGAGAAGCUGCUGAAUGACUACCUGAACCGCAUCUUUCCUCUUCUGACCAUGCACCCCCAGCAGCCACCGGCAGUUACUCGGGAGGCUGAGGCAGGAGAAUCGCUUGAACCGGAGAGGCGGACGUUGCAGUGAGCCGAGGUCAAACCAGUGCACUCCAGCCUGGGCAACAGAGCGAGACUCCAUCUGAAAAAGAAACAAAAAGAAAAAAAAA